GUUCUCGCUUCAGCAGCACAUAUACUAAAAUUGGAACGAUACAGAGAAGAUUAACAUGGCCCCUGCGCAAGGAUCACAGGCAAACUCAUGAAGCGUUCCAUAUUUUU
RNAcentral lists this small nuclear RNA (107 nucleotides) under Physeter macrocephalus (sperm whale). The record is from RNAcentral. Lineage: Eukaryota; Metazoa; Chordata; Mammalia; Artiodactyla; Physeteridae.